GACGAACGCUGGCGGCGUGCUUAACACAUGCAAGUCGAACGGAAAGGCCCUGCUUUUGUGGGGUGCUCGAGUGGCGAACGGGUGAGUAACACGUGAGUAACCUGCCCUUGACUUUGGGAUAACUUCAGGAAACUGGGGCUAAUACCGGAUAGGAGCUCCUGCUGCAUGGUGGGGGUUGGAAAGUUUCGGCGGUUGGGGAUGGACUCGCGGCUUAUCAGCUUGUUGGUGGGGUAGUGGCUUACCAAGGCUUUGACGGGUAGCCGGCCUGAGAGGGUGACCGGCCACAUUGGGACUGUGAUACGGCCCAGACUCCUACGGGAGGCAGCAGUGGGGAAUAUUGCACAAUGGGCGGAAGCCUGAUGCAGCAACGCCGCGUGCGGGAUGACGGCCUUGGGGUUGUAAACCGCUUUCGCCUGUGACGAAGCGUGAGUGACGGUAAUGUGUAAAGAAGCACCGGCUAACUACGUG
This 468-nucleotide ribosomal RNA is filed under the name uncultured bacterium. RNAcentral's name for it is "partial 16S ribosomal RNA". It matches the Rfam family "Bacterial small subunit ribosomal RNA", at positions 28 to 507 of the family's 1533-position model. The record is from RNAcentral.